This 253-nucleotide ribosomal RNA is filed under the name uncultured bacterium. RNAcentral's name for it is "partial 16S ribosomal RNA". It matches the Rfam family "Bacterial small subunit ribosomal RNA", at positions 524 to 776 of the family's 1533-position model. The record is from RNAcentral.
UACAGAGGGUGCGAGCGUUAAUCGGAAUUACUGGGCGUAAAGCGUGCGUAGACGGUUAUUUAAGUCGGGUGUGAAAGCCCCGGGCUCAACCUGGGAAUUGCAUUCGAGACUGAAUAGCUAGGGUACGGUAGAGGGAAGUGGAAUUUCCGGUGUAGCGGUGAAAUGCGUAGAUAUCGGGAGGAACACCUGUGGCGAAAGCGGCGCACUGGACCACAACUGACGCUGAGGCGCGAAAGCUAGGGGAGCAAACAGG